Molecule: long non-coding RNA, 222 nt
Filed under: Capsella rubella
Lineage: Eukaryota; Viridiplantae; Streptophyta; Magnoliopsida; Brassicales; Brassicaceae
Description: long non-coding RNA (CRUB_LNC004232)
Source: RNAcentral
UUUGAUGCAAUGAAUAUUUCAAAUUGUACAGUAUAAUGGAGUAAACCUUAGAAAAUCCUCUCAAAAUCAUAGAUAGCAAUAAUACGAAAUGAAAAGAAAAAAAAAAUCGAUUGAAGUUGACAAAAAAAAAAGAAAUGAAAAAAAAAUCAAUUUGAAAGAAUUAAGAGAACGAGAUUAGGAUACACAUAUUCAAACCUCAAGAUAUCCUCUUUUUCUUGCCCC